RNAcentral lists this long non-coding RNA (419 nucleotides) under Parus major (Great Tit). RNAcentral describes it as "lncRNA (ENSPMJG00000007577.1)". Lineage: Eukaryota; Metazoa; Chordata; Aves; Passeriformes; Paridae. The record is from RNAcentral.
GGAUUAUUCCUGUACAUGUGGCUCUAACUAGGUCUCCCAACCAAUCAUAAAGGCUGUGACAGGUGAUUCCAGCUUCUAAUUGGGAUGCUUGUCUGAUACUGUGAAAUAGAGUUGUUUGAUGGUGGUUAAAGACUUCAGUCCAUCCAGUCUGCAGGCUAAUGUCCUCUUGGAAGUUUAACAAAAACAUUUGCUGGCUAUUUCAUAGGAAGAUCUCCCAUACUGUCAUGCUUCAAAUGAAAUUGCAUUUUUUGGAAGAUGGAAAAUUAGCUUUAUGGAGUUUUGCAAAAUAAAAUAUGAAAGCAUGAGUCUUUUUGAGAAAUUUGAAAAUUGUACUGUCUGUAUAACAUUUAGUUGUGUUAUGGUUUCUAUUAGGCAGUAAAGGCCUACCUGUGUGAAUAAAAUGUAAUCAAUUAAUUACA